RNAcentral lists this RNase P RNA (492 nucleotides) under Burkholderiales bacterium. RNAcentral describes it as "RNase P RNA component class A". It matches the Rfam family "Bacterial RNase P class A". From Rfam's summary of the family: Ribonuclease P (RNase P) is a ubiquitous endoribonuclease, found in archaea, bacteria and eukarya as well as chloroplasts and mitochondria. Lineage: Bacteria; Pseudomonadati; Pseudomonadota; Betaproteobacteria; Burkholderiales. The record is from RNAcentral.
GAAGCUGGCCAGGCAGCCGCUGUGCGCGGAACAAACCGGACAAGGCAACUUGUCCGUGCCGCGCAUAGAGGAAAGUCCGGGCUCCACAGGGUAGGGUGACGGGUAACGCCCGUCCGCCGUGAGGCGAGGAACAGGGCCACAGAGAACGAACCGCCGAUGGCCGUCCGACUUGCGGCGCGCAAGCGCCGCAAAGUCUCCCUUAAAUGGGGUGGGGGGUGUGUGAGCAUUCCCGAAAGGGGGUGCGCAAGCGCUCCCGCAAUUCUCGCAAGUGAAUUGCGGCGGAUCAGGUAAGGGUGAAAAGGUGCGGUAAGAGCGCACCGCGUUCGCGGUAACGCGAACGGCGCGGUAACCUCCACCCGGAGCAACACCGAAUAGGCAAGCGUUGACGCGUCCCGCCGAGCUUGCGGGUAGGUGGCUUGAGCCGCGCAGUAAUGCGCGGCCCAGAGGAAUGGCUGUCCACGACAGAACCCGGCUUAACGGCCAGCUUCACUU